GCUAGCGGCGGCAGGGCGUCGCCGCAGCUCGUUCGCAUCGAGAAGGUCAGGGGUUCGAUUCCCCUCAGCUCCA
RNAcentral lists this transfer RNA (73 nucleotides) under Actinomycetota bacterium. RNAcentral's name for it is "tRNA-Ala". The record is from RNAcentral. Lineage: Bacteria; Bacillati; Actinomycetota.